This 464-nucleotide ribosomal RNA is filed under the name uncultured bacterium. Its description in RNAcentral is "partial 16S ribosomal RNA". It matches the Rfam family "Bacterial small subunit ribosomal RNA", at positions 331 to 794 of the family's 1533-position model. The record is from RNAcentral.
CCAGACUCCUACGGGAGGCAGCAGUGGGGAAUAUUGCACAAUGGGGGAAACCCUGAUGCAGCGACGCCGCGUGGGUGAAGAAGUAUUUCGGUAUGUAAAGCUCUAUCAGCAGGGAAGAAAAACCGACCAUAGGGUCGCUAGACGGUACCUGAUUAAGAAGCCCCGGCUAACUACGUGCCAGCAGCCGCGGUAAUACGUAGGGGGCAAGCGUUAUCCGGAUUUACUGGGUGUAAAGGGAGCGUAGACGGCAGCGCAAGUCUGAAGUGAAAUGCCGGGGCUUAACCCCGGAACUGCUUUGGAAACUGAGCGGCUAGAGUGCAGGAGAGGUAAGUGGAAUUCCUAGUGUAGCGGUGAAAUGCGUAGAUAUUAGGAGGAACACCAGUGGCGAAGGCGGCUUACUGGACGGCAACUGACGCUGAGGCUCGAAAGCGUGGGGAGCAAACAGGAUUAGAUACCCUAGUAUC